RNAcentral lists this ribosomal RNA (504 nucleotides) under uncultured Pseudomonadota bacterium. RNAcentral describes it as "bacterial SSU rRNA". It matches the Rfam family "Bacterial small subunit ribosomal RNA", at positions 395 to 896 of the family's 1533-position model. Lineage: Bacteria; Pseudomonadati; Pseudomonadota. The record is from RNAcentral.
UGCCGCGUGGGUGAGAAGGCCUUCGGUGUAAAGCCUUAGGCGGGGAAGAAGGUUAUAGGGUGAUAAGCCUUAUAGCUUGACUGUACCCGCAGAAUAAGCACCGGCUAACUCUGUGCCAGCAGCCGCGGUAAUACAGAGGGUGCAAGCGUUAAUCGGAUUUACUGGGCGUAAAGGGCGCGUAGGUGGUAAGGCAAGUAAGAUGUGAAAGCCCUGGGCUUAACCUGGGAAGUGCAUCUUAAACUGCCUAACUAGAGUAUGGUAGAGGGUAGCGGAAUUUCCGGUGUAGCGGUGAAAUGCGUAGAGAUCGGAAGGAACGCCAGUGGUGAAGACGGCUACCUGGACCAAUACUGACACUGAGGCGCGAAAGCGUGGGGAUCAAACAGGAUUAGAUACCCUGGUAGUCCACGCUGUAAACGAUGAGGACUGGGUGUCAGGCAGCAUGGCUGUUUGGUAUCGAAGCUAACGCGAUAAGUUCUCCGCCUGGGAAGUACGGUCGCAAGAUUA